Lycium ferocissimum is the source of this 2179-nucleotide long non-coding RNA. RefSeq lists it as uncharacterized. The transcript has 4 exons. The record is from RefSeq and is a predicted model, not a curated record. Lineage: Eukaryota; Viridiplantae; Streptophyta; Magnoliopsida; Solanales; Solanaceae.
UGAAGUUUUAGAUUCUUUUCGAUUUUUUAUUUUUCUAAUUAUCAAACCACCUUAAUUGUAGGGCUUGUGUCUACCAUUGGAUUUUGCGGUUAGAUGGUCAAUAUAUAAUUAACCAGCACUCCACCACCCUUUCAUAAAAGCAUUUUAGUUUUGGAUUUAACUUGUGUAUAUUAAUAGUUGUGUCAAAAAAGAAAAAAAAUCACCUUUAAGUUAAAAUAACUUGUAACUUUAAUAUUUAUAUAGAGGCUGGUAUCAACAUGCUUGUUUCAUCGCUGAAAUGCAUUUUUGUCCUUUUAAGUGCUUCAUCAUAACUUAAGUGUCCUUAGAGCUGAAAAGCAUGUCAUCUUCCUCUCUUUGAACGCUCUCCGUCUCCUUCUCUGCUAUUUUCCUUUCAUUUUUUUCCUCUCUUUCUUUCCCCUCUUAAAAGUUUCGCUACUUGAUAAGUUGAUAACGUCCCACCACCGGCUAUCACCAGGGUUCAGAUUCUUCCUUUAUGCAGGAUCCACUAUUGAUGUACAAUAAAGAUUCAACGAGUCUCCCAUAGCAAGAGAACUCUGCUCAGUCAAAACAACCACGACCUCAGAGGACGCUGCAUUAGCUGAUUUAGUAGUGCUUAAUUUUUUAGUGAACUCUUUAGCCAAUCCAGUGCAAAAGUAUACUUUACUUUUAUUUAUGAUCUCUAGAAAGGUUUAAAGGACAAUACCUCCAAAAUCAUUAAUUUUACUUUAAAUGGACAGAGAAAAUGCGAUCCAUCCACUAUUGUCAUCAACCACGAUGGACGUCGCAGAAGGGAGCAAGUUUGGAGUUAAACAUAGUGGCUCAGAGAGGAGACAAGAUCAAGACACAAUGAGGAAAUUCUCUCUGCCACAAACAUAGGAUGGAAAUAAAGCUUGAUGGAAAUAAAGCUUCUCCUUUGAAGAAGUGCUGGAAGGAAUGGAAUGGCGUGCUAGUUGUAAUUAGCCCGAUUGUUGGAUUGCUUGGGCAACUUAAGGUAUGUUAAGGCUAGUCUCUUUCUUUCUAAAGGCAUGAUUCUUUUCUUAUGAACCCAUACAUGACUUCCAUAAUAUCCUUAUUCCCAAAAAGCUAGAAUUCUAUGAUUCUUAAAGUUCUUAUGAUGAUAAAAUAGAUGUUUUCUAUGAUGACGAUGAUGAUCCCAUUUCUAGAGAUUCCAAAGCUUAUGGAUUUGAUGCUAUUAUGACAUUAUUGACUUUAUUUCAUGAAUUUCUUGAUUUUAUUCAUUGUUGUUAAUCUCACCUUAUGAUAAUUGUUCCUUCAAGGUGAGAUAUAGCGAUGAUGAUUGCUCCAUAAUAUAAAUCGGAGGUUAUUGACCUUACGUCACUCCGAUAGAGUAGUAACAUUUAAUUGGGCUCUCGUGCACGUUAUAUGUAUUUAUACAUGUGUAAUUUAGAUACUUACCGCGCCUUAAUGGCCGGAAAAGAUACUAUAUAUAUUUCACCGCGCCGUAACGGCCAGACAAGAUACUAUACAUAUUUCACCGCGCCUUAACGGCCGGACAAGAUACUAUACAUAUUUCACCGCGCCUUAAUGGCCGGACAAGAUACUAUAUAUAUUUCACCGCGCCUUAACGUCCGGACAAGAUGCUAUAUAUAUUUCACCGCGCCUUAACGGCCGGACAAGAUACUAUAUAUGUUUAUAUGGAAAAGCUAAGCAUGCAUGACAUCCGCCUUAAAAAGGUAUUCAGACGCACAGGAUGAUCUUUUUUAUAUUACGUUAUCUUCAUACUUUCAUUAUGUUGUUAUUCGUGCCUUACAUACUCAGUACAUCGUUCAUACUGGUGUCCUUUCUCGUGGACGUUGCGUUCAUGCCCUCAGGUAGAUAGGUAGAUUGACCAAACCCUUUGGAGCUUCAUUAGCGGAUUCUCAAGAGCACUCCGCUUACUUCGGAGCUGCAUUCUAUUAGUAUUGGUCCUUAUGGUCAAUUGUAAUCUAUGUAGAGGCUCGUAGACAUGUGAGUACCGUUAGAUAUUUCAUAACCCUACCGGUUCAUAUUUUUGUAUGACAUUUUAGUAGCCUUGUCGGCUGGUGAUGAUGGGCAUAAUUGUUGAAGAUUGUAUAGAGAUGUGUCGUUAUCUUGUGGCAUAUGCCCUUACAGAUCAUGAUACCCAUGAGCUAUCUUUAUGGUCCACCUAGAAAUGAUUAUGAGACGUAUGUUUAGAGGU